This 1853-nucleotide long non-coding RNA is filed under the name Lactuca sativa (garden lettuce). RNAcentral describes it as "long non-coding RNA (LSAT_LNC007572)". The record is from RNAcentral. Lineage: Eukaryota; Viridiplantae; Streptophyta; Magnoliopsida; Asterales; Asteraceae.
UGUGUGUGUGUGUGUAGGAAAGUUUAAAAAAAAAAUUAACCACAAAGACCAUUCAACGGUCAAAAGCAGUCAACACACCCAAGGACCAAUCAAAAUUCGCGGUAUUCCCUAUCCGCACUGCGGCCAAGACCGCACUAGACCGCGGUCUAGGGGCGAUGUUCCUGUUCUAAAUGGCACAAAGUGCGGUCUAGGACCGCACCCACACCGUGCAGUCUUAUUUAAUAGAAGAUGGGACCAAGAAGAAGCAUGCGACUGUCUGCAACUUCAGAUAAUCAAACAUUAAAGUAGGUGGGGCCGACUUCGGCAGUGGCAGAAACUAAUGAUAGGUCUUCGAAUCCUUGUCCCCAUUACCAUUAAAGUCUUUUAUAUUUAGGUGUUGUUUGUUUUUUCAAAAACAAAAUGUCUACAGUCUGUGAAUCAUAUCUGCAAACAUCUGCAACAGAAGAGAUGGACGAAACAUCUGCAGUAUGCAAGUAGAAGACUGUUUCUUUUUUGACGUCUGCAGUCUAUGAAAAUAAAAAAAUUUAAUAAAACGUUUUUUAAACUUAAAAGUGUUUUUAAACAUGAAAAUUUAAAUAAUUUUAAUUUUAUAACACUAAAAUAUAAAUCAUACAACCAUAGAUAUUUAAAAAAAAUCAUACAACAUUGAAAAAUAAAUCAAACCACUAAAAUCUUAUUGACAUUAGGUAAAAAGAAAAUUGCAACACAUGACUCAUUCAUCACACUCGUACUCUAAUUUCACAUAUUAUACAAAUAUUUUUAGCUUAUUGCCAUCUCUAUACAUGUUAGAGUAUGUGCUAUCAUUUUUAGAGAAAAAAUCCAACUAAUUAACAUAUCAAUGAUGAAUCACAUUUAAUGUAACCAUAUUAAACCCCAACUCUUUCAAGCAUUUCAUCAAAUGGUUGUCUUGCAUCCAAGGGUCACUUAUGAUUAUAAAAUUGAGCUUUCCUUUUGCCAAUGCUACUCUUCCCAGCAAAUCAAAUAAGAACUUAGUUCAAGGAAAUCUUUAGCCUAAUGCUUCCAGCCUAAUUAAUACCAAUGAACUACAAAAUAUUUGAAUUACAAGCAUUAAAACAUCAUAUAUGAAUACAAUUCUAGCAAUAAUAAAGAUUUAUUUCAGUUAAAACAUAAUUUCCAACAACUAUAUACAUCUAAUUUCAGUUAACAACGCCAUUUUUAGCUAAAAUGUGAUUUCCAACAUAUAUAUACAUCUGAUUUCAGUUAAAAACGUAAUUUCUAGCAACAAUAACAACUAAUUUCAACCAAUUGAAGAACAUUUUUCAUAUUUCAGCAAAACAUAUAUAUUUUUAGCAAAGAAAUCUGAUUUUUAACAACUACUAACAUAUAAUUUCAGCAAAUAAAUCCAAUUUUCAACAAAUGCACAUAUGAUUUUCGUGUUUUAGCAAACUAAUCUGAUUUCACCAUAUAACAUCCGAUUUCCAGCAACUAUAAUAAACCCUAGAAGAUAACAUCUGAUUUUACGGAAAAUGUUCUUACCGGUGAAAGUAGAGAUCGAAGACGACGUUAAGAUGUAGCGAGCGACGGCUAACCUGUUUCAGUGGAAAAACCGGCGGUGAGAUUGUGAAGAUCGAUGGUGGAGCGGCUGAAGAAAAUCUGUGGUGUUUUGUUAAGAGGCUAAAGAGGUAGCGAUGGAUGUCGGCGGCGGAUGUAGACGUCAACGACGAUGGAAGACGACAACUGGGUGGACGGUAAAGGCACUGGCAGCGAGAGGAGGAGGAUGACAGGUGAAGGGCGGGGGGUUGAAGGCUGAGAACGAAAGAGGUGAUGAUAUGUCUAAAGCAAUAAAGGGAGUUUUUUUUAGGUUUUAAUAAUGUGUACAGACUUUAGAAAAC